GAAAAGAACUUUGAAAAGAGAGUUAAAUAGUACGUGAAAUUGUUGAAAGGGAAACGAUUGAAGUCAGUCGUACUGGCGAAAAAUCAACUACUCGAGUGAGUACUUGUGGGCGUAUGUGAGCUUCACGGCCGCGUUGUCUGCAAUGUUCGUGCUCUUGUGGUGUACUUUUUCGUGUGGUAGGUCAAUGUCGGUUUUGGACGCCAUAAAAUGAUCGGAGGAAUGUAGCUUCGACCUCGGUUGAAGUGUUAUAGCCUUUGGUAGAUGUGGUGUUUGGGAUCGAGGAUUGCAACGAAUACCCUUUUGGGCUAUCCGUCUGACCUCUGAUGGUUAGCUGGGUGCCGAAAGCGUGCUUACGGUUAUCCAAGUUGACUGUCAAUAGAUUAGAACGUGAUUACAUUCG
Molecule: ribosomal RNA, 400 nt
Filed under: uncultured Glomeromycotina
Lineage: Eukaryota; Fungi; Glomeromycota
Description: eukaryotic LSU rRNA
Source: RNAcentral